RNA transcript from Camelina sativa (false flax), 987 nucleotides. RefSeq lists it as uncharacterized. Lineage: Eukaryota; Viridiplantae; Streptophyta; Magnoliopsida; Brassicales; Brassicaceae. The record is from RefSeq and is a predicted model, not a curated record.
GAGAGUUUCGAGGAAUCUGGAAAUCCCCAAAUCUGAGUUGUGUUUUCUUCUUAUUAUUCUAGGGUUUGUUUCUUCGUAUCCCCCAAAAAUGGCUGCUACCGUACUGAGCGAUGAAUCGAUGACGAAACGAGGUUUGACAAAGGAUUCAUGGGCGUUUGAGGAGGAGGCUGACUCUUGUUCUUCGCGCAUCAAAAAGCAAAAAGUGGAAGACGAUGAUAGCAGCGGUAGCAGCGACAUCGAUAUGGAUUUCGGCACGGACAGCGAGUGGCUUCAGUAUAAAUACGUUUCAAAAGAACCAGAGUGGGGCUACGAUAGCUUUGAUGGUCGCGAAUUCAAAGUCAAUCCAAGGAUUCGUAAUUGGUCUCCCAACCAGCAACUUUAUGACAUAUACUACAACUACAGGCUUAAGGCUUUCUAGAGUAAGGGUUUUCUUCCUGAUCCUUCGGUCGGAAUCUACGAGCUCAAUCUCGAGAGGAAGAACGGUGAUAGGGGUUUAAUUGCAGAUCUUGCUAAUGUCUGUGUUAAUAAGUUCAACGAGACCAAGAACAAGACUUUGGAAUUUGGUGAAUGUUGUGAGAGUUAAUGUAAGUGGACAAGCUACAUGGAAGCUGUACAUCACGUUCAUGGCACGGGAGUGUCGUGAUGGGCCUCUUGUUGAGUACCAAGCCAAGGUGCUACAUUUUGUAAUGACACCGGAGGUAUCUCCUAUCCCAAUUCUCUGCAGACCAAGUCCUAAACUACAACUCUAGAUCUCUCUAUAUAUUCAAAAGUGUCAUGUGUUGACGACAAGCUAGCAGAGGCUAAGAUGCAUUCAAGUGAGAGAGUUUAAGCUAUUUUAUAAGGUUGUGUUGGGUGGGAAUCUAAGUGUUAUGACCUAUUAUAUCUAUUAUGACAUUAGUUCAUAAUUGUCUUGUGCUAUAUUUAUGGUUUGUGUGUGUAAUAGAUUAUGAAGUUUAUAUUCAUUAAUGAUGCACAGCUUUCUCUCAA